RNAcentral lists this ribosomal RNA (795 nucleotides) under uncultured euryarchaeote. RNAcentral describes it as "bacterial SSU rRNA". It matches the Rfam family "Archaeal small subunit ribosomal RNA", at positions 58 to 859 of the family's 1478-position model. Lineage: Archaea; Methanobacteriati; Methanobacteriota. The record is from RNAcentral.
UCAGGUGUCUUCGGACGCCGGCGUACGGCUCAGUAACACGUAGGCAACCUACCCUCAGGACUGAGAUAACCCCGGGAAACUGGGGCUAAUAUUAGAUAGAUAAAAGGUACUGGAAUGUUCUUUUAUCCAAAGCUUUUGCGCCUGAGGAUGGGCCUGCGUCCGAUUAGGUUGUUGGUGGGGUAAUGGCCCACCAAGCCUACGAUCGGUACGGGCAGUGAGAGCUGAAGCCCGGAGUUGGGGACUGAGACAAGGCCCCAGGCCCUACGGGGCGCAGCAGGCGCGAAACCUCUGCAAUGCGGGAAACCGUGACAGGGGGAUCCCAAGUGCUCAUGCAUUGCAUGGGCUGUUCUUUGGUCUAAGUAACCAGAGGAGUAAGGGCUGGGCAAGACCGGUGCCAGCCGCCGCGGUAAUACCGGCAGCUCAAGUGGUAGCCGCGAUUAUUGGGCCUAAAGCGUUCGUAGCCGGAUAAGUAAGUCUUUGGUUAAAUCCUGCAACUUAACUGUGGGAAAUCUAGGGAUACUGCUUGUCUUGAGACCGGGAGAGGUUAGAGGUACUCCUAGGGUAGGGGUGAAAUCCUGUAAUCCUAGGGGGACCACCUGUGGCGAAGGCGUCUAACUGGAACGGGUCUGACGGUGAGGGACGAAACCUAGGGGAGCGAGCCGGAUUAGAUACCCGGGUAGUCCUAGGCGUAAAUGAUGCGAGUUAAGUGUGGGGGCAUCUACGAGAUGGCCCUGUGCUGUAGGGUAGCCGUUAAACUCGCCGCCCGGGGAGUACGGUCGCAAGGCUGAAACUUAA